This 301-nucleotide long non-coding RNA is filed under the name Gossypium barbadense (sea-island cotton). RNAcentral's name for it is "long non-coding RNA (GBAR_LNC015230)". The record is from RNAcentral. Lineage: Eukaryota; Viridiplantae; Streptophyta; Magnoliopsida; Malvales; Malvaceae.
ACCUUUCAACUGAUUUUUUUCUUUAUUUCUUUGAUCUUUUUUUUCUUUUUAAAAAAGAGUCAGCCCCUCUUUACAUAUUAAAUCUGGCUUUUUAUAGCCGAAAGAAAGAAAAAAAUUUGUCUUCGUUUCUGCUUGCGUGUUCGUUUCUCUUUGGCAGGUGGAGCAGGUGGCUGAACGGUGCAGGCGAUGGGACGUGCGGCGGAGGGUAGGUGAUGGCGGUGCGGCAGUGGCAGAGCAGGUGGAGCAGGUGGGUCUGCUGGUAUGGGUUCUUUCUUGGGCCCGGGCAAAUGGGCCUGCAACA